CUUCCGUAGGGGGAACCUGCGGAGGGAUCAUUACCGAGUUUACAACUCCCAAACCCCUGUGAACAUACCACUUGUUGCCUCGGCGGAUCAGCCCGCUCCCGGUAAAACGGGACGGCCCGCCAGAGGACCCCUAAACUCUGUUUCUAUAUGUAACUUCUGAGUAAAACCAUAAAUAAAUCAAAACUUUCAACAACGGAUCUCUUGGUUCUGGCAUCGAUGAAGAACGCAGCAAAAUGCGAUAAGUAAUGUGAAUUGCAGAAUUCAGUGAAUCAUCGAAUCUUUGAACGCACAUUGCGCCCGCCAGUAUUCUGGCGGGCAUGCCUGUUCGAGCGUCAUUUCAACCCUCAAGCCCUCGGGUUUGGUGUUGGGGAUCGGCGAGCCCUUUGCGGCAAGCCGGCCCCGAAAUCUAGUGGCGGUCUCGCUGCAGCUUCCAUUGCGUAGUAGUAAAACCCUCGCAACUGGUACGCGGCGCGGCCAAGCCGUUAAACCCCCAACUUCUGAAUGUUGACCUCGGAUCAGGUAGGAAUACCCGCUGAACUUAAGCAUAUCAAUAGCGGGAGGAAA
Molecule: ribosomal RNA, 564 nt
Filed under: Fusarium sp. BAB-4274
Lineage: Eukaryota; Fungi; Ascomycota; Sordariomycetes; Hypocreales; Nectriaceae
Description: eukaryotic LSU rRNA
Rfam family: 5.8S ribosomal RNA (bases 182-335)
Source: RNAcentral